Molecule: non-coding RNA, 52 nt
Organism: Alphaproteobacteria bacterium 13_2_20CM_2_64_7
Lineage: Bacteria; Pseudomonadati; Pseudomonadota; Alphaproteobacteria
Source: Rfam
CCGCGGGACACCCCUCCCCACCGAGGGGCGCCUAUCUGGAAGGAUAGACCAU